Molecule: ribosomal RNA, 371 nt
Filed under: uncultured organism
Description: bacterial SSU rRNA
Rfam family: Bacterial small subunit ribosomal RNA
Source: RNAcentral
CGGGGGGGUAAGCGUUGUUCGGAAUUACUGGGCGUAAAGGGCUCGUAGGCGGCCAACUAAGUCAUACGUGAAAUCCCUCAGCUUAACUGGGGAACUGCGUGUGAUACUGGAUGGCUUGGAUUUGGGAGAGGGAUGCGGAAUUCCAGGUGUAGCGGUGAAAUGCGUAGAUAUCUGGAGGAACACCGGUGGCGAAGGCGGCAUCCUGGACUAAUAUUGACGCUGAGGAGCGAAAGCCAGGGGAGCAAACGGGAUUAGAUACCCCGGUAGUCCUGGCCCUAAACGAUGAAUGCUUGGUGUAGCGGGUAUCGAUCCCUGCUGUGCCGAAGCUAACGCAUUAAGCAUUCCGCCUGGGGAGUACGGUCGCAAGGCUG